UCUGGUUGAUCCUGCCUGAACUGAUGUGUUCAUUUCAAAGAUUAAGCCAUGCAUGUGUAAGUUUAACCUGCCAGACAGGGAAACUGCGUACGGCUCAUUACACCAGCUAUAAUUUACUUGACCUUGACUUCUUACUUGGAUAACUGUGGUAAUUCUAGAGCUAAUACAUGCACCAAAGCUCCAAUCUCCCCAGAGCGGAGCGCAUUUGUUCGCCACAAAACCAAGCGCCCUCCGGGCGUCCAGUGUUGACUCAGAACAACUAAGCUGAUCGCACGGUCUUGUACCGGCGACGUGUCUUUCAAGUGUCUGCCUUAUCAACUUUCGAUGGUAGUGUAUCUGACUACCAUGGUGAUGACGGGUAACGGAGGAUAAGGGUUCGACUCCGGAGAAGGGGCCUGAGAAAUGGCCACUACGUCUAAGGAUGGCAGCAGGCGCGCAAAUUACCCACUCUCAACGCGAGGAGGUAGUGACGAGAAAUAACGAGACCGAUCUCUUAUGAGGCCGGUCAUCGGAAUGGGUACAAUUUAAACCCUUUAACGAGUAUCUAUGAGAGGGCAAGUCUGGUGCCAGCAGCCGCGGUAAUUCCAGCUCUCAAAUGCAUAGAAUUAUUGCUGCGGUUAAAAGCUCGUAGUUGGAUCUGUGCUAGCCGUCCGGUGCACACUUUUGUGUGUUACUGGUUGGUUGGCUNUUCUGCCGGUCUUCCCNCGGCGUUGGCCUUACCGGUCGGCGUCGGUGGGCUGGCGAGUUUACUUUGAACAAAUCAGAGUGCUUCAAACAGGCGUUUCGCUUGAAUGUUCGUGCAUGGAAUAAUAGAAGAGGAUUUCGGUCCGAUUUUAUUGGUUUUGCUGACCGAGAUAAUGGUUAACAGAGACAAACGGGGCCAUUCGUAUUGCUACGUGAGAGGUGAAAUUCUUGGACCGUAGCAAGACGGACUACAGCGAAAGCAUUUGGCAAGAAUGUCUUCAUUAAUCAAGAACGAAAGUCAGAGGUUCGAAGGCGAUCAGAUACCGCCCUAGUUCUGACCGUAAACGAUGCCAACUAGCGAUCCGCCGGCGGAUUUAUUCGCCCUGGUGGGGAGCUUCCCGGAAACGAAAGUCUUCCGGUUCCGGGGGAAGUAUGGUUGCAAAGCUGAAACUUAAAGGAAUUGACGGAAGGGCACCACCAGGAGUGGAGCCUGCGGCUUAAUUUGACUCAACACGGGGAAACUCACCCGGCCCGGACACCGUAAGGAUUGACAGAUUGAUAGCUUUUUCAUGAUUCGGUGGAUGGUGGUGCAUGGCCGUUCUUAGUUCGUGGAGCGAUUUGUCUGGUUUAUUCCGAUAACGAGCGAGACUCUAGCCUACUAAAUAGUUGGCUCAUUGCUUCUGUGGGCACAACUUCUUAGAGGGAUUUUCGGUGUUCAGCCGCACGAAAUUGAGCAAUAACAGGUCUGUGAUGCCCUUAGAUGUCCGGGGCUGCACGCGCGCUACACUGGCAAAAUCAGCGUGCUUGUCCUUCCCCGAAAGGGGUUGGUAAACCGGUGAAAAUUUGCCGUGAUUGGGAUCGGACAUUGCAAUUAUUGUCCGUGAACGAGGAAUUCCUUGU
This 1584-nucleotide ribosomal RNA is filed under the name unidentified. RNAcentral's name for it is "SSU rRNA". It matches the Rfam family "Eukaryotic small subunit ribosomal RNA", at positions 1 to 1618 of the family's 1831-position model. The record is from RNAcentral.